CCUACGGGAGGCAGCAGUGAGGAAUAUUGGUCAAUGGGCGCGAGCCUGAACCAGCCAAGUAGCGUGAAGGAUGACUGCCCUACGGGUUGAAAACUUCUUUUAUAAAGGAAUAAAGUGAGGCACGUGUGCAUUUUUGUAUGUACUUUAUGAAUAAGGAUCGGCUAACUCCGUGCCAACAGCCGCGGUAAUACGGAGGAUCUGAGCGUUAUCCGGAUUUAUUGGGUUUAAAGGGAGCGUAGAUGGGUUGUUAAGGCAGUUGUUAAAGUUUGCGGCUCCACCGGAAAAUUGCAAUUGAUACUGGCAGUCUUGAGUACAGUUGAGGUCGGCGGAAUUCUUGGUGUAGCGGU
This 347-nucleotide ribosomal RNA is filed under the name uncultured bacterium. Its description in RNAcentral is "partial 16S ribosomal RNA". It matches the Rfam family "Bacterial small subunit ribosomal RNA", at positions 338 to 682 of the family's 1533-position model. The record is from RNAcentral.